CCAAUAGCGUAUAUUAAAGUUGUUGCAGUUAAAAAGCUCGUAGUUGAAUUUCGGGAUUAGUACGCUGGUCGUGCCUUCGGUAUGUACUGGUGUUACUGGUUUUUACCUUCUGACGAACCGUCAUGUCAUUAAUUUGGUGUGGCGGGGAAUCAGGGCUGUUACUUUGAAAAAAUUAGAGUGUUUAAAGCAGGCUCGCGCUUGAAUACAUUAGCCUGGAAUAAUGAAAUAGGACGUUCGAUCCUAUUUUGUUGGUUUCUAGGAUUGACGUAAUGAUUAAUAGGGAUAGUUGGGGGCAUUAGUAUUCAAUUGUCAGAGGUGAAAUUCUUGGAUUUAUUGAAGACUAACUACUGCGAAAGCAUUUGCCAAGGAUGUUUUCAUUAAUCAAGAACGAAAGUUAGGGGAUCGAAGACGAUCAGAUACCGUCGUAGUCUUAACCAUAAACUAUGCCGACUAGGGAUCGGAUGAUGUUAUUUUUAAUGACUCAUUCGGCGCCUUACG
This 498-nucleotide ribosomal RNA is filed under the name uncultured Glomeromycotina. RNAcentral's name for it is "partial small subunit ribosomal RNA". It matches the Rfam family "Eukaryotic small subunit ribosomal RNA", at positions 591 to 1092 of the family's 1831-position model. The record is from RNAcentral. Lineage: Eukaryota; Fungi; Glomeromycota.